CUGGAGGGUGCUGAUGUCCCUAAAACAAACUCCAACUAAAGAGGCAGAAUUCAGUGCAACAAAUAUUUAUUUUAGGUGCCUCUCUAAGCAAAUCUGGCCCUGUCUACUGUCACUAUUAAUGUCUUUAUGGCUUACAUUGUUGACCGAUCCAGACCCCCUUCUCCUUAAAGACACAGCCUACCACCUUGCAGUGGCAAAAUACCCUUCCCUCAGAGUACACAAUUGGGUGCAGCAUCCAGGUUCUUGCUCCCUCCUGUCACUCACUAUCACCUGCCUAAGAUGCAGUCAACCCGGGGCCUUGUAGUGACAAGGGCAAAGGGCUGCCUCCGCUGGCACAGGUGGCGUGGGGGGGGCAUAAGAGAAAUGCGGCAAGACUGCUUGCCACCCUCGCUUAGCUGCACCUAUCACACUGCUCCUGGCCUGGGAGCCCCAAGUCUAGAAUCCGUGGCUCCCUCCCGUCUCGAGAUCCCUUGCUCCAGCUCCAACCAAGGAUUCCUCUGACAAUGUCCCUCUCCUAGUGGCCGUUAGCUCGGCCCAAGAACUGGCUCUCCGGCCGGGGCAGGCGCAGGAACCGUGUGGGAUUCUCUGGCUCGCGGUCGGCACUAAGGGAGCGCGCGCCCCCGCGCGCCUGCGUACUCGUGCUCGUUCCCGGGCAUCCCUUCCCCGAACUCAGCUGGGGGGAAGGUUCACUGCUAGAGCAGGGCGGGCGGAGGGAAGACGUGGAGUGCUUCCCGUGCGGGGUUUCCCACAAUGCACCUUCGGCGGCGGCGGCGCUCUAGCCGGGGCAUGUCUGCAUCUCGACUGCUCUGGGAGGAGGAAGAGAAGGAGGAAGAGGAGGAGGAGGAGGAGGGGGAGGAAGAGGAGAAAGGCGCAGGGGUGGGAGCUAUUGCUGAAGCUGCCACCACCAAAGUUUCUCCCCCCUCCCCCCCUUCCCCUCCUCUCACGGCCCAUAGAAUGGCCGGAACCGCUGCCGCCCCCGGUUGGUGACCGCGCUGUUCGCCGCCCGCGUGGCACAAAUUCCAACCCAGGACCCUGAUAGAGUGAGAGCCAGAGAGAGAAAUGGGCAAGGGAAAGGGGUGAAAGGAAGGAGGGAAGAAAUACAUACGGGAAGAAGAAAUGGAACAGAAAGAGAUAAUCACAAAUAGGGUACUUGUUAGUUCAUUUGAAAGAGGCAGGAUGAGUAGCUUAGUAUUAUGGGGGUUAAAUGUUAGUUGGAAAAGUUGAAGCAUGUAGGAGAUGGUUUCUAAUUUUUUUGCUCAGGUACAUGGAUUUUGGAUUUAAGCCUUUAAUAAAGUCCUUUAAUAAUACCA
Molecule: long non-coding RNA, 1310 nt
Filed under: Phascolarctos cinereus (koala)
Lineage: Eukaryota; Metazoa; Chordata; Mammalia; Diprotodontia; Phascolarctidae
Description: lncRNA (ENSPCIG00000018737.2)
Source: RNAcentral